This 465-nucleotide ribosomal RNA is filed under the name Vreelandella stevensii. RNAcentral describes it as "partial 16S ribosomal RNA". It matches the Rfam family "Bacterial small subunit ribosomal RNA", at positions 338 to 795 of the family's 1533-position model. Lineage: Bacteria; Pseudomonadati; Pseudomonadota; Gammaproteobacteria; Oceanospirillales; Halomonadaceae. The record is from RNAcentral.
CCUACGGGUGGCAGCAGUGGGGAAUAUUGGACAAUGGGCGAAAGCCUGAUCCAGCCAUGCCGCGUGUGUGAAGAAGGCCUUCGGGUUGUAAAGCACUUUCAGUGGGGAAGAAAGCCUUGGGGCUAAUACCCUCGAGGAAGGACAUCACCCACAGAAGAAGCACCGGCUAACUCCGUGCCAGCAGCCGCGGUAAUACGGAGGGUGCGAGCGUUAAUCGGAAUUACUGGGCGUAAAGCGCGCGUAGGCGGUCUGAUAAGCCGGUUGUGAAAGCCCCGGGCUCAACCUGGGAACGGCAUCCGGAACUGUCAGGCUAGAGUGCAGGAGAGGAAGGUAGAAUUCCCGGUGUAGCGGUGAAAUGCGUAGAGAUCGGGAGGAAUACCAGUGGCGAAGGCGGCCUUCUGGACUGUCACUGACGCUGAGGUGCGAAAGCGUGGGUAGCAAACAGGAUUAGAUACCCUAGUAGUC